CCCAUUUGUACAUUCAGCUUAUGGUUCUCUUUUAUGAUGGCUGCUAUUUAUGUAUCUCCAUACUAAACUAAUUUGGAGAUUCCCACAGUCCUCUGAACCACCGGCCAAUAUUUUGCUCACUGACAUGCAAAAAAUCUGCACCAUCUGAAGCAUGUGUUAGUAGGUCAAAUGUUAUGCACAUACUAAGCAGUGUAUUUUUGCCUUGUUAGAAAACAAACACUUUGAUUAAAG
Molecule: non-coding RNA, 231 nt
Organism: Pelobates cultripes (western spadefoot toad)
Lineage: Eukaryota; Metazoa; Chordata; Amphibia; Anura; Pelobatidae
Source: the annotation of a GenBank genome assembly